GGAAUAUUGCACAAUGGGGGAAACCCUGAUGCAGCGACGCCGCGUGAGUGAAGAAGUAUUUCGGUAUGUAAAGCUCUAUCAGCAGGAACGAGACAAGACGGUACCUGACUAAGAAGCCCCGGCUAACUACGUGCCAGCAGCCGCGGUAAUACGUAGGGGGCAAGCGUUAUCCGGAAUCACUGGGUGUAAAGGGAGCGUAGACGGUGAUGCAAGUCAGAAGUGAAAGCCCGGGGCUCAACUCCGGGACUGCUUUUGAAACUGUGUAACUGGAGUGCAGGAGAGGUAAGCGGAAUUCCUGGUGUAGCGGUGAAAUGCGUAGAUAUCAGGAGGAACACCAGUGGCGAAGGCGGCUUACUGGACUGUAACUGACGUUGAGGCUCGAAAGCGUGGGGAGCAAA
Molecule: ribosomal RNA, 398 nt
Filed under: uncultured bacterium
Lineage: Bacteria
Description: bacterial SSU rRNA
Rfam family: Bacterial small subunit ribosomal RNA
Source: RNAcentral